This 253-nucleotide ribosomal RNA is filed under the name uncultured bacterium. Its description in RNAcentral is "partial 16S ribosomal RNA". It matches the Rfam family "Bacterial small subunit ribosomal RNA", at positions 524 to 776 of the family's 1533-position model. The record is from RNAcentral.
UACAGAGGUCUCAAGCGUUGUUCGGAUUUACUGGGCGUAAAGGGUGCGUAGGCGGCGCCGUAAGUGGGGUGUGAAAUCUCGAGGCUUAACCUAGAAACUGCAUUCCAUACUGCGGUGCUUGAGGACUGGAGAGGAGACUGGAAUUUACGGUGUAGCAGUGAAAUGCGUAGAUAUCGUAAGGAAGACCAGUGGCGAAGGCGGGUCUCUGGACAGUUCCUGACACUGAGACACGAAGGCCAGGGGAGCAAACGGG